This 253-nucleotide ribosomal RNA is filed under the name uncultured bacterium. RNAcentral's name for it is "partial 16S ribosomal RNA". It matches the Rfam family "Bacterial small subunit ribosomal RNA", at positions 524 to 776 of the family's 1533-position model. The record is from RNAcentral.
UACGGAGGCCGCGAGCGUUACGCGGAGUCAUUGGGCGUAAAGCGUGUGUAGGCGGUCAGGCAAGCUGGGUGUGAAAGCGCCAGGCUCAACCUGGGGAUGGCAUGGAAGACUGCGGGGCUGGAGGUCGGUAGAGGACUGCGGAACUCCAGGUGGAGCGGUGAAAUGUGUAGAUAUCUGGUGGAACGCCAGUGGUGAAGACAGGGCGCUGGGCCCGCCCUGACGCUGAGACGCGAAAGCGUGGGGAGCGAACGGG